This is a non-coding RNA of Schistosoma mattheei, 46 nucleotides long. The record is from Rfam. Lineage: Eukaryota; Metazoa; Platyhelminthes; Trematoda; Strigeidida; Schistosomatidae.
GCACUACUGAGGAGUCCCAUACUAAGACGAAACGGCCGUCCAGUGC